GAACGAUCGGAGUAAAGUCCUUGUAUGAAAAACUUUUUCAUUUGACGAGGUAUCUUUCCGAAAUUUGGCAUGUAUUAUUAUUUAAGGUAACAACAUAAUUCCCGAAGAAAUUGUUUUGAUCGGAUCGCUAUGUCAUACAGCUAUCAUAUAAACUUAACGAUUAGUGCCUGCUUGCGGUAAAGUGCCUGCUUGGAAAAAAAUUUUAUUUUUUAUUGCCGAUUCACAAAAUUAGAUCUGAAUGAAGUUAUUAUAAGGAACCUUUGUACCUGUGAAGGGUAUUAUAGCUUCGGUGCAACCGAAGUUACCGUUUUUUCUUGUUUUAAUAUUAAAUAAUAAUUAUUUGAGUUUAUAAGUAAUAAGAAAUUAAUGGUAGAAGUGAUAAAAAUCCGAAGAAGUACUUAAAUUCUACUUGCUAUUACCAAAAAAGUAAACGGACUAGGCUAACAUGAUCGGUCAGCUUGAACGAAAUACAGUGAUCCGAUCCGAACAAUUUGUUUGAAGAUUGUUGUGUUGUCUUGGUCCAGCCAAAUUGUGUGAAGAUAUCCUGUCAAAUAAAAAGUUUUCACGCAGGGGCUUGUUUUUAAUAGGUCAGUUUGUAUGACAUCUAUUUGCUAAAGUAGUCCGAUCUGAACAAUUUACAAAGGGGUCAUUGACCCCAUAAAAUGUAAACAGAAGGGUCAUUGACCUAGCUGUAAGCAAAGGUUGUUGACUUCGAUAAAUGUAAACAAAAGGGUCAUUCACCCCAUGAAACGUAAACAAUGGGUUAAUUGACCCCUUAAAUUAUUGAAAAAGUUGAAAACAUUCUUUUUUUCCAAGAAACUGCUAAUUACUUGGUUCCGAUAUCGGACCACUAUAAGAUAUAGCUGCCAUACAAAGUGAUCGCUUAAAUCAAGCCAUUGUUUGGAACCGGUAGAAAGAGUGAAUAUUAAAAUUUAACAAUGGAAGUCUGAGAGAAAGUAUUCCAAAUUUUUAUUGGACUGUUAAUCGCAUGAUCCACAAUAUUGCCUUCCCCACAAGAGAGGAGUGGAAAAGGGACGAGGUGGACAGGAAUACAGGAAUUAGCAUCUACACGGAUGGAUCCAAACUGGAUAAUCGAGUGGGAGGUGGUGUCUUUUGCGCAACAUUGGACACCAACAUCGCCUACCGUUUACCAGACCACUGCAGUGUCUUCCAGGCGGAGAUCACAGCAAUUAAUGAAAGCCUUGUGGUAUUGACAAAAAGUGUGCUCACAACAAGGAGCAUGUAUAUAUAUACGGAUAGCCAAGCGGCCUUGAAAUCACUCAAGUCUCCAAUGGUGUCAUCCAAGCUAGUGAAAGGUUGUCUUGACCUAUUAGAGGAUCUGACAUCUUACUUCACAAUAAACCUGCAAUGGGUUCCAGGACAUAGUGAUAUUCCUGGUAACUGCGAAGCAGAUACACUAGCCAGAACAGGCACCACUUUGCAACUAACCCCUGAAAAAGAGGGUAUUUUAUGCCUCUGGCAACUUGCGAACACUUAAUCAGCGAACAUGCUAUAAAUAUAGCUGAGUCUCGCUGGAGACAAUCAAUAACCUGCUCAACCAGCAGAUUAACGUGGCAGGAAUGGAGCGUGAGUCGCAGAAACCAACUACUAAAAUUUAAAAGGAAUGAUAUAAGAACUCUGAUAGGAGUACUAACAGGUCACUGUCUAAUUGGUAGACAUGCCAGUAGGCUAGGUGUACCAUACAACGACUAUUGUAGAAGCUGUCAAAAAGUAGAAGAAGAGGAGACUGUAAAGCAUCUUUUAUGCGAAUGUAAAGUUCUAUAUAGGAAAAGAAUCGCAACUAUCGGUCGUGGAUUUCUUGACGACGUAUCAGAAGUUGCUAAUAUAAAAUUAUUUGUACUGAUAAACUUCAUCAGGAGCACAGGUUGGUUCAGAGAGGAGACGAUAGAGUGAGGGAACAUUAGUCCCGGUGGUAUCACAAUGGGCCUCCUAUAGGCCUAGGUGCGUCGUAGGACAGCCACUCUACCUACCUACCUAAUCGCAUGAUACUUAGAGACUUACUAAUCUAAAAAAAUUAAAUACUUUCAAUAGACGAAAUAAUAAAAGUAUGGUAUUUUACUUACCACGGUGUAAAUGAAGUUUGGUAUCUACUCUGGGUACCCAGUUACAGUUUACCUAUCAUAAUCAAUUACCACUCAUACGUCCACGUCAAGAACCCCUGGCAACUUGAGCAAUCCGGAGCGAGAUACGGUAACUAACACGUGAGGAGCUCAGGAUCACGGCUAAGAGAGAGGAAGUUUUGGUGGGGAUAUUCCGACUUAAUCGGUUUAAGGGCUCACCAAGGUCUGCAGCGGCUGUGCAUUGGGAGAUACAGCUGCAAGCGGACGUAGUGAAAAAUUUUACUUCCUAACCGGGGCAGGGGGCUGAGCUUGGGGCCCGCCAUGCAAAAACAGCACCCAAUGCAACGACCAUUAAAGUCUCGAAAUGAACAAAGGACCAUGAGCUAAGGGUGAUCUUGGACUACCCGGACCCUCUAUAGUGAAGGUGCCUCUGCCAAACUAGAGGAUGUCCUGGAGAAGUAUAAGGCUGAGAUCACCGCCAUCCAGGAAAUUCAGUGUACUGUAGUAGUAUAAGACAUUACUACAGCUGUCAUGCAAAGGAGCACAAAUAUGGUGUUGGUUUCGUGGUGAGGCGGAGAUUUCGCCAACUCGUCUGCGGAUUCACUCUUGUAAACUAGCGAGUCUCUACGAUCCCCAUCAAGGCCAAGGUUCACAACAUCAGCCUAAAUUGUGCAUUUGUCCUAACAACUAGACCAAAGAUGACUUUUGCACUCGAACACGAAUACGAACGCUGCCCCCGCUGCUAUAUAAAAUACGUGUUGGUGACUUCCACGCUAGGAAAGUAUGUUUGUGGUGCCAACAUCUAUUCGGACCACUACUUCGGGCCAAGGUUCCACAAAAACACACAGACAAGGAUUUUGCAACUCCACUCUUACUCCUGCUAUCUACCAGCACUUUUCAACUCGAUGAUGUAUGCACGUAGUGGAUGAAAGAGAAGUCAUAGGCCAUCCCAAUCAAAGUCAAAUUGACUGGUAAGAUGACGAAUAUCGCGUCGCCACUGUAGAAAAGUACGCAGCUUACAGUACUGCAGUUACUGAGUACCGCAGCGACGCGAACUAUUGAUAACUAUAUCGUGAGGAGGGAAGAGAGUUUCCAAACGGAGUAAGAGAGGCAGAAAUAUGUAAGUGCGAGGAGCUUCAAGUAGAACACGAGGGAUCAGUUUUCUGAAUAUCGCAUUUCAUAUGUGCUUUAAUUGUAAGCGAUUUUUUUCAAUUCAGUUAAUUAUAUUGUAAAUUAUUGAAGUUUCAGAUAACUUUUUAGAUGGCUUUAUAUCAAAAUACAUACAUACAAACAACCGUUAGGUGAAUAAAACGUGUAUACUAUAUAGCUUCAUUUUGCGAUAGUAUUACAAUGUAUGUAUAAUAAACAAAAUAUUGAGAUAAACUAUUUGAUUAUUUCAAUAACAAUUGUAUGAAGAAUUGCGAGGGAUUUUGGUAAUUUUUAAACAGUUUUGAGUUGUUUCAUUACCGAAACAAUUCUCUAACAAUUUAUUAAUUUAAAAGUACAUAUAUACAUCUCUUAUUCAAUUAUUUUUAUGUUGAAUCAAUGUUACUAUUAAUUUUCCAUAUAUGGUAUGUAUGUGUAGAUUUAUUUUCUUGUACAAAAUUUACUUAUAACUAUAUCAACUAUAUAUAUUAUCGUAAGCAUAUUGUAUAAUUUACGAGUAAAUAUUUUCCUCUUUAUUCCUUUAAUUCCGCUGUACACUUAUUGCUGUGCGUGCGCUCGUUUUAAAUACUCCAUGCAAUGCUGCCAAAAUAUAUGUAUUGUAUGUACUAACAAAUUAAUAUUAAACAAUAAUAAAAGGAUCGCGAAUUUGUUGAGCUUGAAAUACCGUACAACGGUCAACCGAAGCGUACUGGUUCUCCAUCGCCAAUGGCUAGUCCUGCCCAUUCAACAAAUAGUGCCGUUGGCUUAAUGCACUCAUGUUGCGGCCGUUGCUGUUCUCAACGUUAUCAGGCUUGCGGAAAGUAUAUGCCGGCCUCGGGCAAUGCUCAAAACAAUGAAAACAACCAGCCAAUGGACGGUACAUACCUGGUGGAGGCUUCAUUUUAAUGCGUAAUGUUCUUAUUUACCAAAAGUUGCAAGAUAAAUUUACUUAUUCAUAAAAUAUUAGAUAUUGAGAAUAUCACUUACAUAAAUAUUCUAGUUGUAAAUAUUACUUUGUAGCUUAUCGAAAUUGAGAAAACUGUAUCUCAAAACUAUGUUUUUAUUUUAGCACAUCUAUAUGAUAUGAUAUUUAUCAUUCAAACACAGUUGGUAAUAAUUGUUUGCCAUUAUUUUGUAUAAUAAAACUCCUCGAAAACUAAAUAAGGGUUUUAGUAUAUGCAAAGGAUACAGUGGGGACAAAUCUCUCUAAAAAGUUUGAUAUACCUAUAUAUUUAUUUGCUCGCCAAAGUGUGUCUCUAUAUUACCAAACACUAUAAAUGACUUAAAGUAAAAGAUUGAAGGAAAGAAGAAAAACUUGACUUUGACUUGACAAUUAAAAUACGAAAAUAAUACGACAUAUUGUUGAUAUAUUUCUCAUGCGAGACGGGGUGAAAUUCUAUUUUUGUUAUUUGAAUGUUAGGAAGGAAAAUCGUGAACGUUUUAGUUAUUUCUACAAAUAGACUCACGACUAGGACUUGAUCUAAUGUAAUAAUUCUAGCACUUGAAUCUCAAUGUUAUGCCGGAAAAGAGGCACUCAAAAGAAUUACAUUAGAUGGAUAAACGCUAGCUCUGCAGGAAAAUGUCUAUAUAUGGAAAAGCAAAGACGAAUCCAAAAAGCUGGAAAAAUUUCGUAAGUCAGAAGGAAGUAAGUAAGAAGAA
Molecule: non-coding RNA, 4886 nt
Organism: Bactrocera oleae (olive fruit fly)
Lineage: Eukaryota; Metazoa; Arthropoda; Insecta; Diptera; Tephritidae
Source: RefSeq, a predicted model, not a curated record